This 352-nucleotide unclassified non-coding RNA is filed under the name soil metagenome. RNAcentral's name for it is "partial contains 5.8S ribosomal RNA, internal transcribed spacer 2, and large subunit ribosomal RNA". The stretch from base 1 to 120 matches the Rfam family "5.8S ribosomal RNA", at positions 35 to 154 of the family's 154-position model. The record is from RNAcentral.
GAUGAAGAACGUAGCGAAACGCGAUAUGUAAUGUGAAUUGCAGAAUUCAGUGAAUCAUCGAAUCUUUGAACGCACAUGGCGCCUUCCAGUAUCCUGGGAGGCAUGCCUGUCCGAGCGUCGUUUCAACCCUCGAGCCCCCGUGGCCCGGCGUUGGGGAUCUGCCCAGGCAGUCCCCGAAAACCAGUGGCGGACCCGUUACAGGCCCUUCCCUUGCGUAGUAGCAUUCGCCUCGCAUCGGGAGCCGGCGGGCUUCCAGCCUCUAAACCCCCAUCAAGUCCGCCCCGGCGGCACCAAGGUUGACCUCGGAUCAGGUAGGAAUACCCGGAACUUAAGCAUAUCAAUAAGCGGAGGA